UGCCCAGCAACUCUUAUCUCUACCUCCACGCGGUACCGGCCGGAAACUAUGAGCAACCUUAGGGAAGAUCGGGUAACCAACCCCGGUGGGAACUUUGGUCGUAGGCUGACAGGGAAGG
Aedes albopictus (Asian tiger mosquito) is the source of this 118-nucleotide non-coding RNA. The record is from Rfam. NCBI's taxonomy places the organism in Eukaryota, Metazoa, Arthropoda, Insecta, Diptera, Culicidae.